GAAAUGCGAUAAUUAAUGUGAAUUGCAGAAUUCAGUGAAUCAUCGAGUCUUUGAACGCAUAUUGCACCCCCUGGUAUUCCGGGGGGUAUGCCUGUCCGAGCGUCAUUGCUGCCCUCAAGCCCGGCUUGUGUGUUGGGUCCUCGUCCCCCCCCGGGGGACGGGCCCGAAAGGCAGCGGCGGCACCGCGUCCGGUCCUCGAGCGUAUGGGGCUUUGUCACACCGCUCUCGUAGGCCCGGCCGGCGCUGGCCGACGCUGAAAAGCAACCAUUAUUUCUCCAGGUUGACCUCGGAUCAGGUAGGGAUACCCGCUGAACUUAAGC
RNAcentral lists this unclassified non-coding RNA (320 nucleotides) under plant metagenome. RNAcentral's name for it is "partial contains 5.8S ribosomal RNA, internal transcribed spacer 2, and large subunit ribosomal RNA". The stretch from base 1 to 105 matches the Rfam family "5.8S ribosomal RNA", at positions 50 to 154 of the family's 154-position model. The record is from RNAcentral.